RNAcentral lists this ribosomal RNA (460 nucleotides) under uncultured bacterium. RNAcentral describes it as "partial 16S ribosomal RNA". It matches the Rfam family "Bacterial small subunit ribosomal RNA", at positions 338 to 795 of the family's 1533-position model. The record is from RNAcentral.
CCUACGGGGGGCAGCAGUGAGGAAUAUUGGUCAAUGGACGAGAGUCUGAACCAGCCAAGUAGCGUGAAGGAUGACUGCCCUAUGGGUUGUAAACUUCUUUUAUCAAGGAAUAAAACGAGGCACGUGUGCCUUUUUGCAGGUACUUGAUGAAUAAGGAUCGGCUAACUCCGUGCCAGCAGCCGCGGUAAUACGGAGGAUUCGAGCGUUAUCCGGAUUUAUUGGGUUUAAAGGGAGCGGAGAUGGGUUGUUAAGUCAGUUGUGAAAGUUUGCGGCUCAACCGUAAAAUUGCAAUUGAUACUGGCAGUCUUGAGUACAGUUGAGGUAGGCGGAAUUCGUGGUGUAGCGGUGAAAUGCUUAGAUAUCACGAAGAACCCCGAUUGCGAAGGCAGCAUACUAAACUGUGACUGACAUUGAUGCUCGAAAGUGUGGGUAUCAAACAGGAUUAGAUACCCUAGUAGUC